GCCCGGGUGGUGAAAUUGGUAGACACAAGGGAUUUAAAAUCCCUCGCUUAACAAAGCGUGCCGGUUCAAGUCCGGCCCCGGGCACCA
This 87-nucleotide transfer RNA is filed under the name Psychrosphaera haliotis. RNAcentral's name for it is "tRNA-Leu". It matches the Rfam family "tRNA". Rfam says of the family: Transfer RNA (tRNA) molecules are approximately 80 nucleotides in length. RNAcentral also lists the same sequence under 2 other names. The record is from RNAcentral. Lineage: Bacteria; Pseudomonadati; Pseudomonadota; Gammaproteobacteria; Alteromonadales; Pseudoalteromonadaceae.